AGUGAACGCUGGCGGUAGGCCUAACACAUGCAAGUCGAACGGCAGCACAGUAAGAGCUUGCUCUUACGGGUGGCGAGUGGCGGACGGGUGAGGAAUACAUCGGAAUCUACUUUUUCGUGGGGGAUAACGUAGGGAAACUUACGCUAAUACCGCAUACGACCUACGGGUGAAAACAGGGGAUCUUCGGACCUUGCGCGAUUGAAUGAGCCGAUGUCGGAUUAGCUAGUUGGUGGGGUAAAGGCCCACCAAGGCGACGAUCCGUAGCUGGUCUGAGAGGAUGAUCAGCCACACUGGAACUGAGACACGGUCCAGACUCCUACGGGAGGCAGCAGUGGGGAAUAUUGGACAAUGGGCGCAAGCCUGAUCCAGCCAUACCGCGUGGGUGAAGAAGGCCUUCGGGUUGUAAAGCCCUUUUGUUGGGAAAGAAAAGCAGCAGGUUAAUACCCCGCUGUUCUGACGGUACCCAAAGAAUAAGCACCGGCUAACUUCGUG
Molecule: ribosomal RNA, 492 nt
Filed under: uncultured bacterium
Lineage: Bacteria
Description: partial 16S ribosomal RNA
Rfam family: Bacterial small subunit ribosomal RNA
Source: RNAcentral